AAAUUGAAGAGUUUGAUCAUGGCUCAGAUUGAACGCUGGCGGCAGGCCUAACACAUGCAAGUCGAACGGUAGCACAGAGAGCUUGCUCUCGGGUGACGAGUGGCGGACGGGUGAGUAAUGUCUGGGAAACUGCCUGAUGGAGGGGGAUAACUACUGGAAACGGUGGCUAAUACCGCAUAACGUCGCAAGACCAAAGAGGGGGACCUUCGGGCCUCUUGCCAUCAGAUGUGCCCAGAUGGGAUUAGCUAGUUGGUGAGGUAACGGCUCACCAAGGCGACGAUCCCUAGCUGGUCUGAGAGGAUGACCAGCCACACUGGAACUGAGACACGGUCCAGACUCCUACGGGAGGCAGCAGUGGGGAAUAUUGCACAAUGGGCGAAAGCCUGAUGCAGC
Molecule: ribosomal RNA, 393 nt
Filed under: Salmonella enterica
Lineage: Bacteria; Pseudomonadati; Pseudomonadota; Gammaproteobacteria; Enterobacterales; Enterobacteriaceae
Description: bacterial SSU rRNA
Rfam family: Bacterial small subunit ribosomal RNA
Source: RNAcentral